CGUGCCUAAUACAUGCAAGUCGAACGCAUUGUGGUUGAAAUGAUAUGAAGAACUUGUUCAGAUUUGAUUUCAACAUUGCAAUGAGUGGCGAACGGGUGAGUAACACGUGGGAAACCUACCUCUUAGCAGGGAUAACAUUGGAACAAAUGCUAAUACCGUAUAAUAAUUAAAACCGCAUGGUUUUAGUUUAAAAGAUGGUCUUGCUAUCACUAAGAGAUGGUCCCGCGGUGUAUUAGUUAGUUGGUGAGGUAAUGGCUCACCAAGACAAUGAUACAUAGCCGAGUUGAGAGACUGACCGGCCACAAUGGGACUGAGACACGGCCCAUACUCCUACGGGAGGCAGCAGUAGGGAAUCUUCCACAAUGGACGAAAGUCUGAUGGAGCAACGCCGCGUGUGUGAUGAAGGGUUUCGGCUCGUAAAACACUGUUGUAAGAGAAGAAUGACAUUGAGAGUAACUGUUCAAUGUGUGACGGUAUCUUACCAGAAAGGAACGGCUAAAUACGUG
RNAcentral lists this ribosomal RNA (506 nucleotides) under uncultured bacterium. RNAcentral's name for it is "bacterial SSU rRNA". It matches the Rfam family "Bacterial small subunit ribosomal RNA", at positions 43 to 507 of the family's 1533-position model. The record is from RNAcentral.